Zophobas morio is the source of this 577-nucleotide long non-coding RNA. RefSeq lists it as uncharacterized. The transcript is spliced from 2 exons. The record is from RefSeq and is a predicted model, not a curated record. NCBI's taxonomy places the organism in Eukaryota, Metazoa, Arthropoda, Insecta, Coleoptera, Tenebrionidae.
AUUAGAAUUAAUUACUUUGUUUUCAACCGUUUAAAAGAUUAUUUUAAUCUUAAUUAGUACGAUAAGUGUAAAAUCCCGAAUCCACACAAACGGUGCUCAAACAGGUAGCACUGAAAUCACUACACGCACAGAGUCUUAGACGAAGCAAAAUAAUUAUUAUGCAAUUAGUAUAGUAUAAUUUUGGGCUGUGACGGAAAUAAAUAAUUGUAUACACCAAGAACGGACGUUUCAUUACACAAAACUACAACAUUGACACCUACAUAAUAUUGACUUUUUUAUGAGUUCGUGUCCAGAUAACACUUUAUUACAGUCGAAAGUAACAACUGUGAUGUUUAGCACUAAUAAUUCGAAAAAAUAAUGUGCAAAUAUUUGAUAAAGUGGUUCAGACAGGUGAUAUCUCAUUUUUUAUUCUUAUUUAAAACGGGCAGAGAUAUCUCGAAUGGCUAUUGAAUAAAAUUUACUCUGGUAAGCAGUUGCACUUACCUUCUGGAAUAUUUUUAGUCAUGAAAGCCGGUAAUGCGUCCUCCGGUGCACUUAAGUUCUUUUUACUUUCACAAUGCAAGCACACUCGCAAAAA